RNAcentral lists this unclassified non-coding RNA (2753 nucleotides) under Hevea brasiliensis (rubber tree). The record is from RNAcentral. Lineage: Eukaryota; Viridiplantae; Streptophyta; Magnoliopsida; Malpighiales; Euphorbiaceae.
GGGAAAAAAAAAAAUCAUUGUUUAGCAUUCAAUUCCCUUGACAAGAAAACAAAUGCCUUCUUAAAUGAUCAUCUCAGUAGUCGAAAUGCCAAAGAGGGAGAAACAGGUCCUAUCUACAUACAUUUGGCAGUAAACUCACAACAGGUAGAAAUUGUAAGAUGCCAUCACAUAAUUGCUUCACAGGAUAUUAAUAAUCUCUUACAACUGAGGGGACUCACUCACUCGAGAAUCAGAUUCCCACAAAUGAAAGAAUUAACAUAUAUGUUAUAUCACAUGAACAGUCGCACCAUGUCGGGUCGAUGUAUGAUUUGAUAAAACAUGCCUGCCUCCAGUUUGUGUAGAUUCUCAAAUCUCCUUUGUGGUUAACCAAUUUUCUAAAUGAUAGUAGCACAUUCUUUGAUGAAACAUCAGCAAAUUCCCACCAUUUUAAGAGUAAUCACAGUAUAUUUUCUAUUUGAAUUCUCAGAAACUGGAAGCAAAUCAAAUCAAACACCUGCACAAAUAGCUCCUGAUGACCAAGAUGAGCAGCAAAGCUUCCCUUCAUCUACAUGUUUGACGUCAAGCCCAAUAAACCAGGAUCCAGCACUUACAUCAUCAUGUGCAUAGGUGCGAAGAAGAGAUCUGUUUAUGGAUACAAAUUUAGCUAAAGCUCGUGAUAUGACAUACAUCUCACCUGAAGCAUGGCGAAAGUACGAUUUCUUAUCUCCAAACUUCCACCAAUCUGGUUCAUACCAUUUAUGACUAAGUUCAGAGAAAACUUCGCCUGAUUUCAUACAACCAAUAUAAACACGAGGCUUGUCCAAUUGAGUUGCCAGUGUAGCUCCAAGAGCAUCAAUAUUAACAUAUAUAUUGUCAUUGACUUUAGCAUAGAACUCAGCAUCCCAUUUAUCCACAGCAUGAGCAAAAAAUAGUUUAGCCUUAUUUGGAAAUCCCUCAUUUGCCUCCACAUGGUUAUCCUGUUAACAAAGAGGUCUAUAAUGAGCACAUAAUCGAGCUUUUAUAAUAAAAGGUUGCUUCCACAUCCCACUUUCCACUUUAUGCUUCUCUGUCUUUUAUUUAUUUUUUUAAUCAUAUUUUAUAUCUUGCUUUCUCUGUUUAAUAAUUCACCUACAAGUGUGAUUUGGCACCCUGUAACAGGCCUUCAAUGCUCCAUCAUUGCCAUUAAUUCAAAAGUACUAUCCAUAGGAUUUGUAAAAUUAGCAAGGACAAAAAAUAGAAAUAGCUAAUGUUAUUUUUUUCGAAAUCAUUACUGAUUUAUGAACAUACGAGAAUUAAGAAGUCAUUAGCAUGCUUAUUUUCAUUGUCAAUUUCCCUGUCCAAAUUGUCCCCACGAUUUGCACUUCUUCCAAUGACAAAACGUGAAACUAUGCCUUUCUCAUUCUCCAUUUUCUUCAAGGUUAUACCUGAAAGGAUGAAGGGUUGGCUUUGAUCCUCCAAAAACAAUACACAAAAAGAGAAAACUGCUUACUUCUAGAACACUGCAUGCUCCAUACAAAGAAUUAGGCACACAAAAUAAAUUAAAUUAACAAGAAUGAAGUGCAACAAAUGCAUGACAUUCAGGUUGGUAUAUCAAAGCAAAGAAACUACUAGUUUCAACAAGACAAAGAUCAAUUGAAUAAUUCAAUGACAAUAUUUAAUGCACGUUUUUUUACUAUGAGAAAAGGCAUCUGAGCAAUUACUUUCCAGAGAGUAUGCUAAGCUUUAAUUCUUAUGGGGGCAUCUAUCAGUUCCUUGUGAAUCAGUUUUUAAGUUCUCACUACUGAAGCUUCCCCUUUUGCUGCCAGAUGUAGCCCACAUCAUCUAUAAAUGCAGUACUUUUCAAACUUUGUGCACCAUUUGGUCCAUUUCUGGAAGAAUCCGUAUUCGGUAAUGUACCCCUAAUCACUAUACCAAGGAAAGGACUACUUUUAUCACCAUUUAGAUGCUUCCAAAAUAAUGCACAUAUAGUGAUCCAGCUUAAUAUGUUAGGCAAUCUGAGUACUUAAAGAAUGAUGUCAUCAAGUAAAUGGCAAUCUGGGUACUUCAAAGAAUAAUGUCAUCAAGUAAAUGGAAUGAUGAAUUUGUUAUUUCAACCUAAAACAAACAGACAUUCAAGGAACUAAGAAGAAUGAAAUUAUAGGAAUAUUUGGUACCCUACCAGUUCCCAUCCAUGCUUUACGGAUUGCAUUCCUAUUGUUCAUUCUGCCAAACCUUGUCAGUAUUCCUAUCACUACUAGAUGUCUUUUCUUUGAAUUUGUCCCAUCAUUCUGUGACAAGAAGUUUGAAGUAAAACCCUCCUGUUUAGCUGUAGCCAAUUCCAUCUCAAGGGCUGAUAACUUUUUCUGUUGCUCCCUGCAGGCUAUUAUUUUCAAUGUAUCAUCCACAGAUAUAGCAGAUUGUCCCUGUCCAGUUAUCCUGUCGAGCUCUUUAAUCAAAUAAACCCUGUUCUCCGAAUCUUGCCAUAACCUGCCAGCGACAUAAAUGGAAGCGAAAGUAGCGAACAUUGAGAACAAUAAAGUUGAUAUUCUUGAUCCAUACACUCUGCUAUUCGAUCCUUGACUACCUCUGGUAUGCAUCUUUUUAACUCUUUAUCACUAGAUCUUCAAUCCCUUCUCAAUGGAUUCAACGGGACUAUCAAAAUCGGAUAAACAGAACCCAGACUUUGAUUUGGAUUAAAAAUUCUUAUGCCUGGAGAGAGCAGAGACAGAUAGAGAAGAGAAGUGGGUGAGUCGCUGGCAUUGCAAAGUCGAUGCAGUUCUUGUAUUGGUCUAUUU